Marmota monax (woodchuck) is the source of this 1047-nucleotide long non-coding RNA. RefSeq lists it as uncharacterized. Lineage: Eukaryota; Metazoa; Chordata; Mammalia; Rodentia; Sciuridae. The transcript has 2 exons. The record is from RefSeq and is a predicted model, not a curated record.
UAGUGGGCGGGCGGAGGGCCAGCACUCCGACUGGGACCCCAGCGCCCCGAGGUCCCCGGGACCCGCUCCGCUCGGUGUCUCCCUGUCCCGCCCCCGUGUUUGUCCCACCCGGAGCCUGGCUCUCUGGGAAGAAGCCCGUAGUUUCCAGACUCGGGACGUUCAUUCAGAGAGAGUUCCUGGUUGUGUGCCAAGUGCCAGGCACUGUGCGGGGCCGGGUGGGGCAUGCCGGGUUGAACGGGACCCUCCAGGGCUCACCGCCUGGCCUUACCUGCACUGCUCACUAGUUGCAGGACUUUGGCACUCACCGCGCCUGCCGUGGGACGGGUGGUGUCUUACUGCUCCUGUAUUCAGGACCCGAGCCCUGCUUUCCCACGCCUACAUCAUCUCUCAGGGUGAAUUGGCGUUUUAAGGAUCACUUUAAUUUGCUUUCUGUCAUUUAAUGUUUUCUUUCUGAUACCACCCCUUUCCCCAUCACUCACACACACACACACAUACACACGCACCCCUCCCCCUUUCUCGCCUGCCUCUGUGACUUCUGACUCCUCCCUCCUUCACUUUCAUCUGAUAUCUGGUUUUUCCCAGGAGCCUUCUCUGUGGCCUGCUGUGCCUACGUUUUUGGACUAGUCCCAGUUACUUCAGGCCUACUGUCUGCCAGCCUGAUGGGGGCUGAGAUAGGUUGGAAAUUCUCCAGGCCAGUAGAAGUUAAUAGAGUCAGUUCUGACCGAGACGUUGGUGUCAGUAUACCAGCACUAACUUCAUUAACACACUCUCCGCUGCACCUGAAUUUGGAGCUUCACAUUUUUGGAAGUAUGAUGCCUGAACGUAGUAAAUAAAGCACUUUUGACUUCAGGAAAGUUUUAUGAUACUUUAUAUUUUUUCUUUCUCUGUUAUUACACAGCCAGCUUUACUAAAUUAAAUGUGUGAAUUCCUUUUAGCAUUUGUUAUUAGGAAAUAAAACUUUUUAUAUAUUGAAAGUGUUUAAAAACUUUUUCCUUUGCUACUGUUAACCUUGAAAAGAGUUUAUUAAAGUUUUCUUUUAGAAACUCA